GGGAUGAGGUGUGGGUAGCGGAGAAAUUCCAAUCGAACUUGGAGAUAGCUGGUUCUCUCCGAAAUAGCUUUAGGGCUAGCCUCGAGGUAAAGAGUCAUGGAGGUAGAGCACUGUUUGGACUAGGGGCCCUUCUCGGGUUACCGAAUUCAGAUAAACUCCGAAUGCCAUGUACUUAUACUCGGGAGUCAGACUGCGAGUGAUAAGAUCCGUAGUCGAAAGGGAAACAGCCCAGACCACCAGUUAAGGUCCCCAAAUAUAUGUUAAGUGGAAAAGGAUGUGGGGUUGCUUAGACAACCAGGAUGUUGGCUUAGAAGCAGCCACCAUUGAAAGAGUGCGUAAUAGCUCACUGGUCGAGUGACCCCGCGCCGAAAAUGUACCGGGGCUAAACAUAUUACCGAAACUGUGGAUGAACCUCUUUAGAGGUUCGUGGUAGGAGAGCGUUCUAAGGGCGGUGAAGUCAGACCGGAAGGACUGGUGGAGCGCUUAGAAGUGAGAAUGCCGGUAUGAGUAGCGAAAGAAGGGUGAGAAUCCCUUCCACCGAAUAUCUAAGGUUUCCUGAGGAAGGCUCGUCCGCUCAGGGUUAGUCGGGACCUAAGCCGAGGCCGAUAGGCGUAGGCGAUGGACAACAGGUAGAGAUUCCUGUACCAGUGCUAAUUGUUUAACCGAUGGGGUGACACAGAAGGAUAGGGAAUCGCACGAAUGGAAAUGUGCGUCCAAGCAGUGAGUGUGAGAAGUAGGCAAAUCCGCUUCUCGCGAAGCAUGAGCUGUGAUGGGGAAGGAAAUUAAGUACGGAAGUUCCUGAUUUCACGCUGUCAAGAAAAGCCUCUAGGAAGAGUAGUACUGCCCGUACCGCAAACCGACACAGGUAGAUGAGGAGAGAAUCCUAAGGUGAGCGAGAGAACUCUCGUUAAGGAACUCGGCAAAAUGACCCCGUAACUUCGGGAGAAGGGGUGCUCUAUUAGGGUGCAAGCCCGAGAGAGCCGCAGUGAAUAGGCCCAGGCGACUGUUUAGCAAAAACACAGGUCUCUGCAAAACCGUAAGGUGACGUAUAGGGGCUGACGCCUGCCCGGUGCUGGAAGGUUAAGAGGAGUGCUUAGCUUCGGCGAAGGUACGAAUUGAAGCCCCAGCAAACGGCGGCCGUAACUAUAACGGUCCUAAGGUAGCGAAAUUCCUUGUCGGGUAAGUUCCGACCCGCACGAAAGGCG
This 1205-nucleotide ribosomal RNA is filed under the name Salmonella enterica subsp. enterica serovar Newport. RNAcentral's name for it is "partial 23S ribosomal RNA". It matches the Rfam family "Bacterial large subunit ribosomal RNA", at positions 801 to 2001 of the family's 2925-position model. Lineage: Bacteria; Pseudomonadati; Pseudomonadota; Gammaproteobacteria; Enterobacterales; Enterobacteriaceae. The record is from RNAcentral.